RNAcentral lists this transfer RNA (73 nucleotides) under Danionella translucida. It matches the Rfam family "tRNA". Rfam says of the family: Transfer RNA (tRNA) molecules are approximately 80 nucleotides in length. Their secondary structure includes four short double-helical elements and three loops (D, anti-codon, and T loops). RNAcentral also lists the same sequence under 1 other name. Lineage: Eukaryota; Metazoa; Chordata; Actinopteri; Cypriniformes; Danionidae. The record is from Rfam by way of RNAcentral.
AUUUCCGUAGUGUAGUGGUUAUCACGUUUGCCUUACACGCAAAAGGUCCCCAGUUCGAAACUGGGCGGAAACA